CGUAGGUGGCAAGCGUUAUCCGGAUUUACUGGGUGUAAAGGGCGCGUAGGCGGGGAUGCAAGUCAGAUGUGAAAUCUAUGGGCUUAACCCAUAAACUGCAUUUGAAACUGUGUCUCUUGAGUGUCGGAGAGGUAGACGGAAUUCCUAGUGUAGCGGUGAAAUGCGUAGAUAUUAGGAGGAACACCAGUGGCGAAGGCGGUCUACUGGACGAUAACUGACGCUGAGGCGCGAAAAGCGUGGGGGGAGCAAACAGGAUU
RNAcentral lists this ribosomal RNA (257 nucleotides) under uncultured bacterium. RNAcentral's name for it is "partial 16S ribosomal RNA". It matches the Rfam family "Bacterial small subunit ribosomal RNA", at positions 526 to 779 of the family's 1533-position model. The record is from RNAcentral.